AAUCUAUUUUUUAUUUUUUCCUAAAAUUCUAAUAUUAAUUUAUAAAAUUUAUGUUUUAAGCAUAAUAAAUGUAUUUUUUAUACUCAAUAUCAAAAUUAGUCAAUUCAAUGGCUCACAAAAUCCUAAAUAUAUUCUAUUUUAAUCUUAAAUAAAUCGUUAUCAAAUCCUAAUUAAAUCCUAUACAAAACCUUAACAAACCUUAUUCAAAUCCUAAACAAAAACUUAACAAACCUUAAUCAAAUUCUAAUCAAUUCCUAAAUAUUUCCUAAACAAUUCCU
This 278-nucleotide long non-coding RNA is filed under the name Physcomitrium patens. RNAcentral's name for it is "long non-coding RNA (PPAT_LNC005357)". Lineage: Eukaryota; Viridiplantae; Streptophyta; Bryopsida; Funariales; Funariaceae. The record is from RNAcentral.